RNAcentral lists this ribosomal RNA (491 nucleotides) under uncultured bacterium. RNAcentral describes it as "partial 16S ribosomal RNA". It matches the Rfam family "Bacterial small subunit ribosomal RNA", at positions 29 to 506 of the family's 1533-position model. The record is from RNAcentral.
AGUGAACGCUGGCGGUAGGCCUAACACAUGCAAGUCGAACGGCAGCACAGUAAGAGCUUGCUCUUACGGGUGGCGAGUGGCGGACGGGUGAGGAAUACAUCGGAAUCUACUUUUUCGUGGGGGAUAACGUAGGGAAACUUACGCUAAUACCGCAUACGACCUACGGGUGAAAGCAGGGGAUCUUCGGACCUUGCGCGAUUGAAUGAGCCGAUGUCGGAUUAGCUAGUUGGCGGGGUAAAGGCCCACCAAGGCGACGAUCCGUAGCUGGUCUGAGAGGAUGAUCAGCCACACUGGAACUGAGACACGGUCCAGACUCCUACGGGAGGCAGCAGUGGGGAAUAUUGGACAAUGGGCGCAAGCCUGACCCAGCCAUACCGCGUGGGUGAAGAAGGCCUUCGGGUUGUAAAGCCCUUUUGUUGGGAAAGAAAAGCAGCAGGUUAAUACCCCGCUGUUCUGACGGUACCCAAAGAAUAAGCACCGGCUAACUUCGG